AACGAACGCUGGCGGCAUACCUAACACAUGCAAGUCGAACGAGACCUUCGGGUCUAGUGGCGCACGGGUGCGUAACGCGUGGGAACCUGCCUUUAGGUUCGGAAUAACUCAGAGAAAUUUGAGCUAAUACCGGAUGAUGUCUUCGGACCAAAGAUUUAUCGCCUUUAGAUGGGCCCGCGUUGGAUUAGCUAGUUGGUGGGGUAAAGGCCUACCAAGGCGACGAUCCAUAGCUGGUCUGAGAGGAUGAUCAGCCACACUGGGACUGAGACACGGCCCAGACUCCUACGGGAGGCAGCAGUGGGGAAUAUUGGACAAUGGGCGAAAGCCUGAUCCAGCAAUGCCGCGUGAGUGAUGAAGGCCUUAGGGUUGUAAAGCUCUUUUACCCGAGAUGAUAAUGACAGUAUCGGGAGAAUAAGCUCCGGCUAACUCCGUG
RNAcentral lists this ribosomal RNA (433 nucleotides) under uncultured bacterium. RNAcentral describes it as "partial 16S ribosomal RNA". It matches the Rfam family "Bacterial small subunit ribosomal RNA", at positions 29 to 507 of the family's 1533-position model. The record is from RNAcentral.